GCCUGGGUGGCUCAGUCAGUUAAGCAUCCGACUUUGGCUCAGGUCAUGAUCUCACGGUUUGUGGGUUCAAGCCCCACCUUGGGCU
This 85-nucleotide transfer RNA is filed under the name Felis catus (domestic cat). It matches the Rfam family "tRNA". From Rfam's summary of the family: Transfer RNA (tRNA) molecules are approximately 80 nucleotides in length. Their secondary structure includes four short double-helical elements and three loops (D, anti-codon, and T loops). The record is from Rfam by way of RNAcentral. Lineage: Eukaryota; Metazoa; Chordata; Mammalia; Carnivora; Felidae. RNAcentral also lists the same sequence under 2 other names.